Molecule: ribosomal RNA, 1535 nt
Filed under: Escherichia coli
Lineage: Bacteria; Pseudomonadati; Pseudomonadota; Gammaproteobacteria; Enterobacterales; Enterobacteriaceae
Description: bacterial SSU rRNA
Rfam family: Bacterial small subunit ribosomal RNA
Source: RNAcentral
AAAUUGAAGAGUUUGAUCAUGGCUCAGAUUGAACGCUGGCGGCAGGCCUAACACAUGCAAGUCGAACGGUAACAGGAAGCAGCUUGCUGCUUCGCUGACGAGUGGCGGACGGGUGAGUAAUGUCUGGGAAGCUGCCUGAUGGAGGGGGAUAACUACUGGAAACGGUAGCUAAUACCGCAUAAUGUCGCAAGACCAAAGAGGGGGACCUUCGGGCCUCUUGCCAUCGGAUGUGCCCAGAUGGGAUUAGCUUGUUGGUGGGGUAACGGCUCACCAAGGCGACGAUCCCUAGCUGGUCUGAGAGGAUGACCAGCCACACUGGAACUGAGACACGGUCCAGACUCCUACGGGAGGCAGCAGUGGGGAAUAUUGCACAAUGGGCGCAAGCCUGAUGCAGCCAUGCCGCGUGUAUGAAGAAGGCCUUCGGGUUGUAAAGUACUUUCAGCGGGGAGGAAGGGAGUAAAGUUAAUACCUUUGCUCAUUGACGUUACCCGCAGAAGAAGCACCGGCUAACUCCGUGCCAGCAGCCGCGGUAAUACGGAGGGUGCAAGCGUUAAUCGGAAUUACUGGGCGUAAAGCGCACGCAGGCGGUUUGUUAAGUCAGAUGUGAAAUCCCCGGGCUCAACCUGGGAACUGCAUCUGAUACUGGCAAGCUUGAGUCUCGUAGAGGGGGGUAGAAUUCCAGGUGUAGCGGUGAAAUGCGUAGAGAUCUGGAGGAAUACCGGUGGCGAAGGCGGCCCCCUGGACGAAGACUGACGCUCAGGUGCGAAAGCGUGGGGAGCAAACAGGAUUAGAUACCCUGGUAGUCCACGCCGUAAACGAUGUCGACUUGGAGGUUGUGCCCUUGAGGCGUGGCUUCCGGAGCUAACGCGUUAAGUCGACCGCCUGGGGAGUACGGCCGCAAGGUUAAAACUCAAAUGAAUUGACGGGGGCCCGCACAAGCGGUGGAGCAUGUGGUUUAAUUCGAUGCAACGCGAAGAACCUUACCUGGUCUUGACAUCCACGGAAGUUUUCAGAGAUGAGAAUGUGCCUUCGGGAACCGUGAGACAGGUGCUGCAUGGCUGUCGUCAGCUCGUGUUGUGAAAUGUUGGGUUAAGUCCCGCAACGAGCGCAACCCUUAUCCUUUGUUGCCAGCGGUCCGGCCGGGAACUCAAAGGAGACUGCCAGUGAUAAACUGGAGGAAGGUGGGGAUGACGUCAAGUCAUCAUGGCCCUUACGACCAGGGCUACACACGUGCUACAAUGGCGCAUACAAAGAGAAGCGACCUCGCGAGAGCAAGCGGACCUCAUAAAGUGCGUCGUAGUCCGGAUUGGAGUCUGCAACUCGACUCCAUGAAGUCGGAAUCGCUAGUAAUCGUGGAUCAGAAUGCCACGGUGAAUACGUUCCCGGGCCUUGUACACACCGCCCGUCACACCAUGGGAGUGGGUUGCAAAAGAAGUAGGUAGCUUAACCUUCGGGAGGGCGCUUACCACUUUGUGAUUCAUGACUGGGGUGAAGUCGUAACAAGGUAACCGUAGGGGAACCUGCGGUUGGAUCAC